GACGAACGCUGGCGGCGUGCUUAACACAUGCAAGUCGAGCGGUAAGGCCCUUUCGGGGGUACACGAGCGGCGAACGGGUGAGUAACACGUGGGCGACCUGCCCUCAGCUCUGGGAUAAGCCUGGGAAACUGGGUCUAAUACCGGAUAUGACCACAUGUCGCAUGGUGUGUGGUGGAAAGUUUUUCGGCUGGGGAUGGGCCCGCGGCCUAUCAGCUUGUUGGUGGGGUGAUGGCCUACCAAGGCGACGACGGGUAGCCGGCCUGAGAGGGCGACCGGCCACACUGGGACUGAGAUACGGCCCAGACUCCUACGGGAGGCAGCAGUGGGGAAUAUUGCGCAAUGGGCGGAAGCCUGACGCAGCGACGCCGCGUGGGGAUGACGGCCU
This 385-nucleotide ribosomal RNA is filed under the name uncultured bacterium. RNAcentral's name for it is "bacterial SSU rRNA". It matches the Rfam family "Bacterial small subunit ribosomal RNA", at positions 28 to 417 of the family's 1533-position model. The record is from RNAcentral.